Molecule: transfer RNA, 83 nt
Filed under: Akkermansia sp.
Lineage: Bacteria; Pseudomonadati; Verrucomicrobiota; Verrucomicrobiia; Verrucomicrobiales; Akkermansiaceae
Description: tRNA-Tyr
Rfam family: tRNA
About the family: Transfer RNA (tRNA) molecules are approximately 80 nucleotides in length.
Source: RNAcentral
GGGUAGGUUCCCGAGCGGUCAAAGGGGACUGACUGUAAAUCAGUUAGCUAAUGCUUUCGGUGGUUCGAAUCCACCCCUGCCCA